UCUUGCUGCCCUGCCCACUGACUCUCACAAGGAUAGGGCAGGCAGUGAGAAUGUGGAAGCAGAAAGACCACAUGACUGACAGUUUAAAGUAUAGUCAUGUGUCACUUAACGGUGAGGAUAUGUUCCGAGAAAUGCCUCCUUAGGCAAUUCUGUUGUGUGCACAUCACAGAGUACACUUACACAAACCUAGAUGGAAGAGCCUACUGCACACCUAGGCUGAAUGGGACCAGCCUGGCCAACAUGUUGAAACCUCAACUCUACUAAAAAUACAAAAAUUAGCCAGGCUUGGUGGCAUGUGCCUGUAAUCUCAGCUACUUGGGAGGCUGAGGCAGGAGAAUCACUUGAACCUGGGUGGUGGAGGUUGCAGUGAGCCGAGAUCACCCCACUGCACUCCAGCCUGGGCGACAGAGCAAGACUGACUCAAUUUAAAAAAAAAAAGAUAAAAAUGGUGCAUCUCUAUAGGGCGUUUACCAUGCCUGGAGCUUGUGGGACUGGAAGUUGCUCUGGAAUCACUUCCUGGCUGGGAAUUGAACCCAGACUGCUGCAGUGAAAGAGCAUAAUGUUAGCUACUGGCCCACAGCAUGAGACUCCCGGUCCUGUUUGUUGCUCAUCCCCAGAUACGCAGCCUGGUCUACAGGAAGAAUUCUAUGUAUAUUUGCUGAAGAGACAAAGAAGGAUGUGGAUGAAUUGGAUGUGGAGAAUGAGAGGAAAGAAAAUGUCAAGGAUGGCUCUAAUUUCUGGCUUAUGCAACUGAGUGGUGCCAUUGAGAGAGACUCUCUCUCUUGCCUUCUUGGUUGGCACACUGGGGAGAAGCGAGCUGCAGCGUUGGAGAGGCCCAUGUGGCAAGGGACUGAGAGCAGCCUCUGGCCAACAGCCGGUAAGCAACCAGUGAGCAACCGAGGCCCUCAGUCCCACAGCAUGUGAGGAACUGAGUCCUGCCAAUGAUCAUGUGAUACUGAAGGAGGGUCUUUCUUUAGCUGAUCCUACAGAUGAGAAUCUAGCCCUUGUGCUGCCUCAUGAGAGACCCUGGAGCAGAGGCCCCAGCUGAGCUAUGCCUGGAUUCCUACCCACAGAAACUGGAAGACAAUAAAAGUGUCGUUUAUGUUUUUUUAUUCUGGUAAAAAUCAUAUAACAUGAAAUUUUUCCAUUCUAACCAU
RNAcentral lists this long non-coding RNA (1157 nucleotides) under Homo sapiens (human). RNAcentral's name for it is "HSALNT0060383". Lineage: Eukaryota; Metazoa; Chordata; Mammalia; Primates; Hominidae. The record is from RNAcentral.